Molecule: long non-coding RNA, 434 nt
Organism: Chelonia mydas (Green sea turtle)
Lineage: Eukaryota; Metazoa; Chordata; Testudines; Cheloniidae
Exons: 3
Source: RefSeq, a predicted model, not a curated record
GUCAUGCAGAGAGGGUGGGGCAAGGCUCCCCUCUCACCUAGCCAAUAAGGAAUGAACUGGGAGAAGGGGUCAAUAUAAAUGCUGCUUCUUCCUUCACAGGAGAUGCCAACAAAUACAGCAGGGAGCAAGGAAGCUCCUGCAGGGCCCUGCAUUAACAGGGAGAAGACAGCAGCAGAGGCGGGCUGCUUGCUGAACCCUCCUAGCCUGAAGAGGACCAAGCCACUGAAGACCCACCAAGGUUGGACAGCAGCGUACAGGGGAUACUGGGGCAAGAAAAGUACCACACCCACCUGCUAAGAGGUGCUCAAGAGUGAAAGUGAGAUCAGGGAGAUAUGUUCUGCUCGUGAACUACACAAAUAUCUUGGAUACACAGAAAGUAGAGCUUCUGAAGCAAACAGGAAUGAAAAGCAGAACCACAGUGACUAAAAAGAAAG